GACGAACGCUGGCGGCGUGCUUAACACAUGCAAGUCGAACGGAAAGGCCCUGCUUUUGUGGGGUGCUCGAGUGGCGAACGGGUGAGUAACACGUGAGUAACCUGCCCUUGUCUUUGGGAUAACUUCAGGAAACUGGGGCUAAUACCGGAUAGGAGCUCCUGCUGCAUGGUGGGGGUUGGUAAGUUUCGGCGGUUGGGGAUGGACUCGCGGCUUAUCAGCUUGUUGGUGGGGUAGUGGCUUACCAAGGCUUUGACGGGUAGCCGGCCUGAGAGGGUUACCGGCCACAUUGGGACUGAGAUACGGACCAGACUCCUACGGGAGGCAGCAGUGGGGAAUAUUGCACAAUGGGCGGAAGCCUGAUGCAGCAACGCCGCGUGCGGGAUGACGGCCUCCGGGUUGUAAACCGCUUUCGCCUGUGACGAAGCGUGAGUGACGGUAAUGGGUAAAGAAGCACCGGCUAACUACGUG
RNAcentral lists this ribosomal RNA (468 nucleotides) under uncultured bacterium. RNAcentral describes it as "partial 16S ribosomal RNA". It matches the Rfam family "Bacterial small subunit ribosomal RNA", at positions 28 to 507 of the family's 1533-position model. The record is from RNAcentral.